GGCCUUUUGAUUAUAAUUUAAGGUCGGGCCUGCCCAAUGAAAAAUUUAAUGGCCGCGGUAUAUUAACUGUGCAAAGGUAGCAUAAUCAUUAGUUUUUUAAUUGAAAGCUGGAAUGAAGGGUUUAAUGAAAAAAGUUCUGUCUCUAUUUAAAUUUAUUAGAAUUUUAUUUUUAAGUUAAAAAGCUUAAAUAAUUAUUGAAGACGAGAAGACCCUAUAGAGUUUUAUAUUUUAAGAGAUUACUGUAUUUGGUAAAUUUUAACUUAAUUUUUGAGAAUAUUUAGUUGGGGUGAUUGAAAAAUUAAAAGAACUUUUUUUUAUUUAAACAUAAAUGUAUGAGUAGAUGAUCCUUUUUUUAGAUUAAAAGAGCAAAUUACCUUAGGGAUAACAGCGUAAUUUUUUUUAGAGUUCUUAUCAAAAAAAAAGAUUGCGACCUCGAUGUUGGAUUAAAAUAAGUUUUUGGUGCAGAAGCUAAAAAACUAGGUCUGUUCGACCUUUGAAUUUUUACAUGAUCUGAGUUUAGACCGGUUUAAG
This 531-nucleotide ribosomal RNA is filed under the name Acalles dispar. Its description in RNAcentral is "partial 16S ribosomal RNA". It matches the Rfam family "Bacterial large subunit ribosomal RNA", at positions 1860 to 2625 of the family's 2925-position model. Lineage: Eukaryota; Metazoa; Arthropoda; Insecta; Coleoptera; Curculionidae. The record is from RNAcentral.